GAUGAAGAACGUAGCGAAAUGCGAUAAGUAAUGUGAAUUGCAGAAUUCAGUGAAUCAUCGAAUCUUUGAACGCACAUUGCGCCCGCCAGCAUUCUGGCGGGCAUGCCUGUUCGAGCGUCAUUUCAACCCUCGAGCCCCCCCGGGGGCCUCGGUGUUGGGGGACGGCACACCAGCCGCCCCCGAAAUGCAGUGGCGACCCCGCCGCAGCCUCCCCUGCGUAGUAGCACACACCUCGCACCGGAGCGCGGAGGCGGUCACGCCGUAAAACGCCCAACUUUCUUAGAGUUGACCUCGGAUCAGGUAGGAAUACCCGCUGAACUUAAGCAUAUCAAAUAAGCGGAGGA
This 344-nucleotide unclassified non-coding RNA is filed under the name soil metagenome. RNAcentral describes it as "partial contains 5.8S ribosomal RNA, internal transcribed spacer 2, and large subunit ribosomal RNA". The stretch from base 1 to 120 matches the Rfam family "5.8S ribosomal RNA", at positions 35 to 154 of the family's 154-position model. The record is from RNAcentral.